CAGCCGCCGCGGUAAUACGAAGGGGGCUAGCGUUGCUCGGAAUGACUGGGCGUAAAGGGCGCGUAGGCGGAUUGCAUAGUCAGGCGUGAAAUUCCUGGGCUCAACCUGGGGACUGCGUUUGAUACGUGCGAUCUAGAGUUUGGAAGAGGGUCGUGGAAUUCCCAGUGUAGAGGUGAAAUUCGUAGAUAUUGGGAAGAACACCGGUGGCGAAGGCGGCGACCUGGUCCUUGACUGACGCUGAGGCGCGAAAGCGUGGGGAGCAAACAGGAUUAGAUACCCCAGUAGUCCCUGUCUCUUAUAC
This 301-nucleotide ribosomal RNA is filed under the name uncultured bacterium. Its description in RNAcentral is "partial 16S ribosomal RNA". It matches the Rfam family "Bacterial small subunit ribosomal RNA", at positions 509 to 807 of the family's 1533-position model. The record is from RNAcentral.